This 600-nucleotide ribosomal RNA is filed under the name uncultured bacterium. RNAcentral's name for it is "bacterial SSU rRNA". It matches the Rfam family "Bacterial small subunit ribosomal RNA", at positions 96 to 693 of the family's 1533-position model. The record is from RNAcentral.
CGGCGGACGGGUGAGUAAUGUCUGGGAAACUGCCUGGUGGAGGGGGAUAACUACUGGAAACGGUAGCUAAUACCGCAUAACGUCGCAAGACCAAAGAGGGGGACCUUCGGGCCUCUUGCCAUCAGAUGUGCCCAGAUGGGAUUAGCUAGUAGGUGGGGUAACGGCUCACCUAGGCGACGAUCCCUAGCUGGUCUGAGAGGAUGACCAGCCACACUGGAACUGAGACACGGUCCAGACUCCUACGGGAGGCAGCAGUGGGGAAUAUUGCACAAUGGGCGCAAGCCUGAUGCAGCCAUGCCGCGUGUACGAAGAAGGCCUUCGGGUUGUAAAGUACUUUCAGCGGGGAGGAAGGUGUUGUGGUUAAUAACCACAGCAAUUGACGUUACCCGCAGAAGAAGCACCGGCUAACUCCGUGCCAGCAGCCGCGGUAAUACGGAGGGUGCAGGCGUUAAUCGGAAUUACUGGGCGUAAAGCGCACGCAGGCGGUCUGUCAAGUCGGAUGUGAAAUCCCCGGGCUCAACCUGGGAACUGCAUUCGAAACUGGCAGGCUAGAGUCUUGUAAGGGGGGUAGAAUUCCAGGUGUAGCGGUGAAAUGCGUAG